GCCAGCAUGGCAUAGUGGUUUGAGUGUUAGACUACGACUCUGGUGAUCAGGAUUCAAUUCCUGGCUCAGCCA
This is a non-coding RNA of Phrynosoma platyrhinos (Desert horned lizard), 72 nucleotides long. The record is from the annotation of a GenBank genome assembly. NCBI's taxonomy places the organism in Eukaryota, Metazoa, Chordata, Lepidosauria, Squamata, Phrynosomatidae.